CGGUGGCUAAUACCGCAUAACGUCGCAAGACCAAAGAGGGGGACCUUCGGGCCUCUUGCCAUCAGAUGUGCCCAGAUGGGAUUAGCUAGUUGGUGAGGUAACGGCUCACCAAGGCGACGAUCCCUAGCUGGUCUGAGAGGAUGACCAGCCACACUGGAACUGAGACACGGUCCAGACUCCUACGGGAGGCAGCAGUGGGGAAUAUUGCACAAUGGGCGCAAGCCUGAUGCAGCCAUGCCGCGUGUAUGAAGAAGGCCUUCGGGUUGUAAAGUACUUUCAGCGGGGAGGAAGGUGUUGUGGUUAAUAACCGCAGCAAUUGACGUUACCCGCAGAAGAAGCACCGGCUAACUCCGUGCCAGCAGCCGCGGUAAUACGGAGGGUGCAAGCGUUAAUCGGAAUUACUGGGCGUAAAGCGCACGCAGGCGGUCUGUCAAGUCGGAUGUGAAAUCCCCGGGCUCAACCUGGGAACUGCAUUCGAAACUGGCAGGCUUGAGUCUUGUAGAGGGGGGUAGAAUUCCAGGUGUAGCGGUGAAAUGCGUAGAGAUCUGGAGGAAUACCGGUGGCGAAGGCGGCCCCCUGGACAAAGACUGACGCUCAGGUGCGAAAGCGUGGGGAGCAAACAGGAUUAGAUACCCUGGUAGUCCACGCCGUAAACGAUGUCUACUUGGAGGUUGUGCCCUUGAGGCGUGGCUUCCGGAGCUAACGCGUUAAGUAGACCGCCUGGGGAGUACGGCCGCAAGGUUAAAACUCAAAUGAAUUGACGGGGGCCCGCACAAGCGGUGGAGCAUGUGGUUUAAUUCGAUGCAACGCGAAGAACCUUACCUGGUCUUGACAUCCACAGAACUUUCCAGAGAUGGAUUGGUGCCUUCGGGAACUGUGAGACAGGUGCUGCAUGGCUGUCGUCAGCUCGUGUUGUGAAAUGUUGGGUUAAGUCCCGCAACGAGCGCAAC
RNAcentral lists this ribosomal RNA (950 nucleotides) under Salmonella enterica. RNAcentral's name for it is "bacterial SSU rRNA". It matches the Rfam family "Bacterial small subunit ribosomal RNA", at positions 157 to 1102 of the family's 1533-position model. The record is from RNAcentral. Lineage: Bacteria; Pseudomonadati; Pseudomonadota; Gammaproteobacteria; Enterobacterales; Enterobacteriaceae.